RNAcentral lists this ribosomal RNA (441 nucleotides) under uncultured bacterium. RNAcentral's name for it is "bacterial SSU rRNA". It matches the Rfam family "Bacterial small subunit ribosomal RNA", at positions 28 to 451 of the family's 1533-position model. The record is from RNAcentral.
GAUGAACGCUGGCGGCGUGCCUAACACAUGCAAGUCGAGCGAAGCACUUUAAUUCGAUUCUUCGGAUGAAGAUUUUUGUGACUGAGCGGCGGACGGGUGAGUAACGCGUGGGCAACCUGCCUUACACAGGGGGAUAACAGUUAGAAAUGACUGCUAAUACCGCAUAAGACCGCAGUACCGCAUGGUACAGCGGUAAAAACUCCGGUGGUGUAAGAUGGGCCCGCGUCUGAUUAGGUAGUUGGCGGGGUAACGGCCCACCAAGCCGACGAUCAGUAGCCGACCUGAGAGGGUGACCGGCCACAUUGGGACUGAGACACGGCCCAGACUCCUACGGGAGGCAGCAGUGGGGAAUAUUGCACAAUGGGGGAAACCCUGAUGCAGCGACGCCGCGUGAGCGAUGAAGUAUUUCGGUAUGUAAAGCUCUAUCAGCAGGGAAGAAAA